RNAcentral lists this ribosomal RNA (473 nucleotides) under Stheneboea repudiosa. RNAcentral describes it as "partial large subunit ribosomal RNA". The stretch from base 337 to 473 matches the Rfam family "Bacterial large subunit ribosomal RNA", at positions 2473 to 2609 of the family's 2925-position model. Lineage: Eukaryota; Metazoa; Arthropoda; Insecta; Phasmatodea; Lonchodidae. The record is from RNAcentral.
UUAUUAAAUGGCCGCGGUAUUUUGACCGUGCAAAGGUAGCAUAAUCAUUAGUUUAUUAAUUGUAAACUUGUAUGAAUGGUUGGACGAGAUAAUUUCUGUCUUAAUUUUAUAUAUAUAAUUUAAAUUUUUAGUUAAAAUGCUUAAAUUUAUUUAUUGGACGAGAAGACCCUAUAGAUCUUUAUUUUUAUUUUUAUUAAUUGCUUUAGUUAUAUUUUUUUAAUAUUUUUAUUUAUUUUGUUGGGGUGAUUUGGAGAUAUAUAUAACUCUUUAUUUUUUUUUUCAUUAAUUUAUGUUUAUUUGAACUUUAUUUUUGUUAUAANAUUUANAUACCUUAGGGAUAACAGCGUAAUUUUUCUUGAAAGUUCUUAUUAAUAGUAAAGUUUGCGACCUCGAUGUUGGAUUAAGAUUAAUAUUGGGUGUAGGUGCUCUAGUUAUUAGGUCUGUUCGACCUUUAAAAUCUUACAUGAUCUGAG